Molecule: ribosomal RNA, 496 nt
Filed under: uncultured bacterium
Lineage: Bacteria
Description: partial 16S ribosomal RNA
Rfam family: Bacterial small subunit ribosomal RNA
Source: RNAcentral
CGAACGCUGGCGGCGUGCCUAAUACAUGCAAGUCGAACGAGAGCGACCGGUGCUUGCACUGGUCCAUCUAGUGGCGAACGGGUGAGUAACACGUGGGUAACCUGCCCAUCAGAGGGGGAUAACAUUCGGAAACGGAUGCUAAAACCGCAUAGGUCUUCGAACCGCAUGGUUUGAAGAGGAAAAGAGGCGCAAGCUUCUGCUGAUGGAUGGACCCGCGGUGCAUUAGCUAGUUGGUGAGGUAACGGCUCACCAAGGCCGUGAUGCAUAGCCGACCUGAGAGGGUGAUCGGCCACAUUGGGACUGAGACACGGCCCAAACUCCUACGGGAGGCAGCAGUAGGGAAUCUUCCGCAAUGGACGCAAGUCUGACGGAGCAACGCCGCGUGAGUGAAGAAGGUUUUCGGAUCGUAAAACUCUGUUGUUAGAGAAGAAUAAGUGCUAGAGUAACUGUUAGCGCCUUGACGGUAUCUAACCAGAAAGCCACGGCUAACUACGUG